RNAcentral lists this transfer RNA (61 nucleotides) under Tenebrionoidea sp. 19 KM-2017. RNAcentral's name for it is "tRNA-Asn". Lineage: Eukaryota; Metazoa; Arthropoda; Insecta; Coleoptera. The record is from RNAcentral.
AAUUGAAACCAAACUAGAGGUAUAUCACUGUUAAUGAUAAAAAUGAAUUAACAUUCCAGUU